CUCUGCUGCUCCAGCUCCAGCCGUGGCCUCCUUCUCAGCUCCAGCCGUGGCCUCCUUCUCAGCUCCAGCCGUGGCCUCCUCUGCUGCUCCAGCUCCAGCCGUGGCCUCCUCUGCUGCUCCAGCUCCAGCCGUGGCCUCCUUCUCAGCUCCAGUUGUGGCCUCCUCUCCUACUCCAGCUCCAGCCGUGCCCUCUUCUGCUGCUCCAGCCAUGGCCUCCUUCUCAGCUCCAGCCGUGGCCUCCUCUGCUGCUCCAGCUCCAGCCGUGGCCUCCUUCUCAGCUCCAGUUGUGGCCUCCUCUCCUACUCCAGCUCCAGCCGUGCCCUCUUCUGCUGCUCCAGCCAUGGCCUCCUUCUCAGCUCCAGCCGUGGCCUCCUCUGCUGCUCCAGCCGUGGCCUCCUUCUCAGCUCCAACCGUGGCCUCCUCUGCUGCUCCAGCUCCAGCCGUGGCCUCCUUCUCAGCUCCAGCCGUGGCCUCCUCUGCUGCUCCAGCUCCAGCCGUGGCCUCCUCUGCUGCUCCAGCUCCAGCCGUGGCCUCCUUCUCAGCUCCAGUUGUGGCCUCCUCUCCUAGUCCAGCUCCAGCCGUGACCUCUUCUGCUGCUCCAGCCAUGGCCUCCUUCUCAGCUCCAGCCGUGGCCUCCUCUGCUGCUCCAGCCGUGGCCUCCUUCUCAGCUCCAGCCGUGGCCUCCUCUGCUGCUCCAGCUCCAGCUGUGGCCUCCUUCUCAGCUCCAGCCGUGGCCUCCUCUCCUACUCCAGCUCCAGCCGUGGCCUCUUCUGCUGCUCCAGCCAUGGCCUCCUUCUCAGCUCCAGCCGUGGCCUCCUCUGCUGCUCCAGCCGUGGCCUCCUUCUCAGCUCCAGCCGUGGCCUCCUCUGCUGCUCCAGCUCCAGCUGUGGCCUCCUUCUCAGCUCCAGCCGUGGCCUCCUCUCCUACUCCAGCUCCAACCGUGCCCUCUUCUGCUGCUCCAGCCAUGGCCUCCUUCUCAGCUCCAGCCAUGGCCUCCUCUGCUGCUCCAGCUCCAGCUCCAGCUGUGGCCUUCUUCUCAGCUCCAGCCAUGGCCUCCUCUGCUGCUCCAGCUCCAGCUCCAGCCGUGGCCUCCUCUGCUGCUUCAGCUCCAGCCGUCUCCUCCUCUCCAGAAGUUUCAGUGGCAUUUUCUUUACUCAUUCGAUACACAGAUAUUUAUAUUUCAGAUGAAGAUGAGUAUGAGUAA
This 1204-nucleotide long non-coding RNA is filed under the name Carassius auratus (goldfish). Its description in RNAcentral is "lncRNA (ENSCARG00000050980.1)". The record is from RNAcentral. Lineage: Eukaryota; Metazoa; Chordata; Actinopteri; Cypriniformes; Cyprinidae.